UGAGGAUCCAGCACCAAGCUGCCGUCUUCCAGCACCUCACUCACAGCCAGAGAUCUUUGCUCACAGCGCCCACGUGUGCUGGACCCAGUUUGGACAUGGUCCCUCGGUUGGCUUCGUUACCGCAGAAGCAGGCCCUUUGGUCCAGUGAUUCUUUGCCUUGGCCUUUCAAGUGCUCGUGCAAUGUUAUGACAGUAUCUGUCUCCACCAAGGAUUUCCAGAUUGCAACCAAAAUUGGUGGGAAAAAAUCCUCAAUAUAAAAAUGGAUCCAUUCCGUGAGGGUGUCGAAUGUCAUGUGGGGACCUUCUGAAGUUCAGCUGGAAGGGCACCAAUUGCCUGGUCUCUCCACGGAUAUUGACACAGUUGACCAGCGCCCCCACAAAUUUGAGACGCAAGUCCUUGGGUGAUGCGCAGAUUGACCAUGGAAUUCUUCAGUGUUUUUACAAUGCCGUGGACAGCUGAUUGAUACAGGGCAGAAACACACAUUUGCCCCACUGUCCACGUUGACCACCCCGUACACAUCUAUACUAUUCCCUAUUCACUGUGAGUCAGUGGGGGCGUUGCAAGCCGGCGCCCUGUCAGCAGCAUGUCCGUUUUUUUCAAUUUUUUUUUUGUUUUUUUAGUAUGUUUUAAAGUAUGUUUUUUGUGUUUCUAUGUGUGUGUUUGGUGUGGGGGGGGUAAGGGGGAAACCAUUUUGGUCGUCUCCUCCAUGGAGAGGCGACUUUUUCCAGGUCGCCUCCCCCGUGGCCUAACAACGAGGAUCGGGCGGCCUUUCCCGGAGACGCGCCCGGGGAUUCAGCAGCGGGCGCAGUGUGGACUCUUGGCGUGGAGCGGGCAAGCCCUCGCUGGGGCUCGCCGGAGGGGAGCGCUCCGUUUCGCUGGCCCACGGCAGCCAGCAGCCUGAGCUCCAGCUGGCGCAGCGUCUACAGCCCAGGAUCCCUCGUGGGGGACCCGGGAGAAGAAGGAGCUUCCACCGCUGGCCCACGGCCAACUUCUACCGCGGACCCGGCGUGGACUUACCAUCACCCCUGGAGGGGAGCUUCGACCGCCGGCCCUGCGGUCUGCGGUGCUUCUGGCUGCGGCGGGAACUUUAAAUCGUCGACCACCGGCCUGCGGCCUACACCAUCCUGAAGCCGCGGUCUCCGGUGGGGAAGAGCCGACUAUGGGCUGGCUCUGGACUCUGGCCCCGACCACGGGGGAAAUGGAGGAGGACUGGACAAUUUUUGUGCCUUCCACCACAGUGAUGAAUGCUGUGGUGGAUGUUUGUGUUCAAUUUUUAUUGUGUAUUGUGUGUUCUUUCUCAUUGUAUCGCUGCUGACAUAUUCAUUUCACUUGCACUUUAUGUGCAAUGUGACGAAUAAACCCGUAUUGUAUUGUAUUGUAUCCUAGGGAGUAACCUCUUGCAAGUUCUCAGUGACGACCAAGUGACUGGGGAAUUAUCUAUCUUGUGGUGUACGGCAGACAUCUAACUUUAGAAUAUCAAACACGUGAGAUAU
Molecule: long non-coding RNA, 1493 nt
Organism: Leucoraja erinaceus (little skate)
Lineage: Eukaryota; Metazoa; Chordata; Chondrichthyes; Rajiformes; Rajidae
Exons: 3
Source: RefSeq, a predicted model, not a curated record